This is a long non-coding RNA of Paramormyrops kingsleyae, 1615 nucleotides long. RefSeq lists it as uncharacterized. The record is from RefSeq and is a predicted model, not a curated record. Lineage: Eukaryota; Metazoa; Chordata; Actinopteri; Osteoglossiformes; Mormyridae.
UGUUGACUACCGCUCCGAACUGCCUAGUUGCAGAGAGUCAUCCCCAGUGCUACGGCCUCCUUCCUUUCCGUAAAGCGCUCCAGUCGAAGUUGAUGUGGUGCCACAAGAAGUCAUGCAAUCUUCACUAAAAGGAAUGAAGAUUUAAAGCAUCCCUCACAGGCCGGAGACAAAGGGCUGAUUCAUCCAAGGCCUCGCCUCUCCAGAACAAGACAAAAGGGGUAAAACAAUCAUUGGGCGACUUCCAUGGCUUCCUUCCAUCAGUGCCACUGUACCUGUCAAUUGAGGUCUUACCAGACAUGGUUAGAUCUAUCUGUACUUGUCUAAUACUGUCUGGUAAUGCCGUCCAUUGCAGGGAGAGACAUCUCCUCUUCGAAUCUUCUCCCAUCAUCUCCUGCAUUAUGGUAAUAUUAAAAGCUAAUUGCCAUAAGUGGACCAUAGAUUAGAAAUAUUAGCAUUCAUGCUAUAGACUAGUAGCAUUAGUAAGCAGUGCAUAGUCAAGUACAGUAGCUUUGGUAAGGAGAAGACAGCUUAGUAAUAGUGAUAAUCAUAAUGCAUUAUACUUUUCAUACAGUCUGCAGUGUUUAAUAACUUAAUUCUUUGCAAUGGAUUUGUAUAUAAAUACCUACAUAAUGCGUGUGUAUGUUUAUAUAUAUAAUCUUUGGAUAUCUUGCAUACAGUUUGUGUUUUGUUAAGUUUCUGAACAUUGUGCAUAGUAUGGCUGGGACAAAAUAUUUCUUAUAUAUUUUGUAAUAUUUUUAAAUAUCAUUUUAAAUAUUUUUUUUCAUAUCAGUUGAUAUAGAUACUUAUCAAUCAUAUAAUUCAAGUCAUUAUUUCUUUACUUCUAGUUUCAAAUUUUAUUUUAAAUUACUUUAAUAUAUAUUCAGAACAUGAAAAAAGGAGAAAUUGAUGGACUCCAAAUCAAAAUCUAAUUUUAAUAAAUGAAUCACACAAAAAUAAACAUUUUUGUUAUCGAAAAUGCUGGCAGUGUGUUUUUUGGUCUUUUUUUCCCUGACUGCUUUGCUCUAUGAUUGGUUGAAAUUGCAUUUGUUUCUGUGACAUGGUAUGCUGUUAUAAUAAUUGAUAUUUUAUUGAUCCCUGUGGGGAAAUUCUCUUCGUGCCCCUCCCAACUUUCUCUCUGUAGGUGAAAGCAAGGGCAGCCGCCUAUAACAGAGCCCAGGGCGCUGCUGCUUGAGGGCCUCGCUUAAAAACGCAAUUGGGCCCAGACCGGGCUUCAGCUGGCAACCUUAUAGGUCAGAGGCACCAAGGUCCAGCCCACUGAGCCCCACACUGCCUCCAUAUAGCCACAUGCUGUCAUGCAUUGUCCCUUAUCUAGAGUUUAUUGACGUUUCUCAUUUUCUUAUCAUUUAAAUUGUACUUGACAAUAAGUCGAUAUAUCAUUUAUAUCGCCCAGCCCUACUACCUAAGUAAUUAUGUUAACUAUUGCAUAUUAAAAGUGACUGCUGUGAUAUUUUUUUCAUGUGUCCCAUUUCAUGUAAUGGAUUGAUUGUAUGGAUUAUUCAUUUAGUAAUGAACUAUAUAUUCCUGUUUUAAGUCAUGUAGUGAUAAGCAUAGUUCACAUUAUGAAUAAAGAUAUUAAAACAUUCUUAAACAUUAA